CCUACGGGUGGCAGCAGUGGGGAAUAUUGCGCAAUGGGCGAAAGCCUGACGCAGCGACGCCGCGUGAGGGAUGAAGGUCUUCGGAUCGUAAACCUCUGUCAGCAGGGAAGAACGGUCACUGUGCUAAUCAGCAGUGAAUUGACGGUACCUGCAAAGGAAGCACCGACUAACUCCGUGCCAGCAGCCGCGGUAAUACGGAGGGUGCGAGCGUUAAUCGGAAUUACUGGGCGUAAAGCGCUCGUAGGCGGUAUGUCAAGUCAAGGGUGAAAUCCCCGCGCUCAACGGGGGAACUGCCUUUGAAACUGGCAAACUGGAGUGUGUAAGAGGAUAGUGGAAUUCGAGGUGUAGCGGUGAAAUGCGUAGAUAUCAGGAGGAACAUCAGUGGCGAAGGCGACUAUCUGGCACAUAACUGACGCUGAGGAGCGAAAGCGUGGGUAGCAAACAGGAUUAGAUACCCCAGUAGUC
This 465-nucleotide ribosomal RNA is filed under the name uncultured bacterium. RNAcentral describes it as "partial 16S ribosomal RNA". It matches the Rfam family "Bacterial small subunit ribosomal RNA", at positions 338 to 795 of the family's 1533-position model. The record is from RNAcentral.